This 481-nucleotide ribosomal RNA is filed under the name uncultured bacterium. RNAcentral's name for it is "partial 16S ribosomal RNA". It matches the Rfam family "Bacterial small subunit ribosomal RNA", at positions 28 to 507 of the family's 1533-position model. The record is from RNAcentral.
GACGAACGUUGGCGGCGUGCUUAAUACAUGCAAGUCAACUGAAGCAGUGGUAGCAAUAUCGCUGUGGAGGUGGCGCACGGGUGAGUAACACGUAGGUAAUCUGCCUUCAGGUCUGGCAUAACUCCGGGAAACCGGGGCUAAUAGCAGAUGAUGCAGCGGCUCGACAUCGAGACAGUUGUUAAAGCUAUGCCGCCGGAAGAUGAGCCUGCGUCUGAUUAGCUAGUUGGCGGGGUAACGGCCCACCAAGGCAACGAUCAGUAGCUGGUCUGAGAGGAUGAUCAGCCACACUGGAACUGAGACACGGUCCAGACUCCUACGGGAGGCAGCAGUAAGGAAUAUUGCUCAAUGGGAGAAAUCCUGAAGCAGCAACGCCGCGUGAGGGACGAAGGGCUUUUGCUUGUAAACCUCUGUAGUGAGAGAAAAAAAUCCCAAUCUUUGGGACAUGAUGGUAUCUCAAAAGUAAGCCCCGGCUAACUACGUG